UUACACAAACAAAACAACAAAACUACAUACGAACGCAAACAAGAUCGCCUAAAAAAAUGUUUAAAAAAAAAUGUAUCCUUUUGUCGCACAGAUUACUCCUUUUUAGACAACAACAAAGCAUUUUCUGAUUUCACAAUCAUUCUCUCUUUUUUUCCGUUGCCAUCUUCCUCUGUCACAGACACACACCCACACGCAAGGGACGCUGUGACGUUUUCACAAACCGCUAUCCCGGAUUCGCCGCCACAUCCCGGUACUCUUUUCUCCGCCGCCCUUGAAAGAGAACGUCCUAUGUGAAAGUCAGUCGUGCACUUUUUUUUUUAACCUGUCGUGUGUGUGUGUGUGUGUGUGUGUGUGUGUGUGUGGAACAAAAUACAUUUCCUAACGCAUAAUAGUCAUGUUGGAGCUGCAUAGAUCCGUAUAAAUGUGUCAGAUUGUGUGGGAUAGCACUAGUUGGUCCCUGGAGACUGCUGUCUGGUUGGAGAGUCACCUGCUCCCCUCCAUGGAGACAGACCAGCAUGAUCAACAGUCGGCUGGAGGGAGUUGGUGGUUACGGUUACAGAAGUCAUCAAAAGAGAGCGCCUGGGGAAUAGGAGUGGAGCUAGGCACUGCAGGUCCUGGAUUAACCUCUACAUCACCAGAGGAACAGAGGAGGAGUUGGUGGUUGACCCAUCAGAGGAGUUGUAUUUAUGGAUGGCUACAGGUCAUGACCUUUCCCAUCUUCUACGUCUGGGUUCUCUUCAUCUGCAUAUGCUUACAUCAAAUGUAGCCUAUGGCUGGCCGGUUAUCCAUUUCAAGGGGUUCGCUUCGUGUCAAUGUACUGUUUCUCUGUUUCUCUGUUCUUCUUCUGUUGUUUAUUUUUUUGUGUUUUUCCUCUUUGUGUAAAAUAUGUUGAGACCUUGUACACAUGAAAUAAAUUGUGAUUUGAUUGGAAAGAUAAUAAAGAGAAGAAUAAAUAGACCACCUCAUAGACCAUUUUAUUUUUUAAACCAAUUGAAAUGUUAAUUUUGUGGAUAUUUUCUAUGUUAUUUAACAUUAUUUUAAUGAGACAUGAUUACCUGCAAUAGAUGAAUCGUACGUGGCACUGUGGCUUACACUCGGCUACUUCUCUGACCAAUUAUUUCACAGAUAAUUGUAUGUUUGGGGUACAGAGAUGAGAUCAUCCUUCACAAAUCAUGUUAAACACUUUUAUUGCAUCCCGAGUGAGUCCAUGCAACUUAUUAUGUGACUUGUUAAGCACAUUUUUACUCCUGAUGUUAUUUAGGCUUGACAUAACAAAAGGCUUGAAUACAUAUUCGCUCAAAACAUUUUCAGCUUUACAUUUUUUAAUAAUUUGUAAAAAAAAAAAAAAAAAAUUCUAAAAACAAAAUUCCACUUCCAAAUUGUGGGGUAUUGUGUGUCGAUCAGUGACACGGGCUUUAACACAAGAACACGUGGAACAAGUCAAGGGGUGUGAGACGGAGGGGGC
RNAcentral lists this long non-coding RNA (1465 nucleotides) under Oncorhynchus mykiss (rainbow trout). RNAcentral's name for it is "lncRNA (ENSOMYG00000023941.2)". The record is from RNAcentral. Lineage: Eukaryota; Metazoa; Chordata; Actinopteri; Salmoniformes; Salmonidae.